Molecule: ribosomal RNA, 568 nt
Filed under: Staphylococcus hominis
Lineage: Bacteria; Bacillati; Bacillota; Bacilli; Caryophanales; Staphylococcaceae
Description: bacterial LSU rRNA
Rfam family: Bacterial large subunit ribosomal RNA
Source: RNAcentral
UUAGAUUAAGUUAUUAAGGGCGCACGGUGGAUGCCUUGGCACUAGAAGCCGAUGAAGGACGUUACUAACGACGAUAUGCUUUGGGUAGCUGUAAGUAAGCGUUGAUCCAGAGAUUUCCGAAUGGGGAAACCCAGCACAAGUUAUGUUGUGUUAUCGACAAGUGAAUUCAUAGCUUGUCAGAAGGCAGACCCGGAGAACUGAAACAUCUUAGUACCCGGAGGAAGAGAAAGAAAAUUCGAUUCCCUGAGUAGCGGCGAGCGAAACGGGAAGAGCCCAAACCAAUAAGCUUGCUUAUUGGGGUUGUAGGACACUCUAUACGGAGUUACAAAGGAAUAUAUUAAACGAAUCAUCUGGAAAGUUGAAUCAAAGAAGGUAAUAAUCCUGUAGUUGAAAAUAUAUUCUCUCUUGAGUGGAUCCUGAGUACGACGGAGCACGUGAAAUUCCGUCGGAAUCUGGGAGGACCAUCUCCUAAGGCUAAAUACUCUCUAGUGACCGAUAGUGAACCAGUACCGUGAGGGAAAGGUGAAAAGUACCCCGGAAGGGGAGUGAAAGAGAACUUGAAACCGUG